UGGCUAUCAUGUGUUGGAAGAUACCCUAAACUUAACCUAACAUAACCUAUCAAAACCCCAAACAGUCAUUAUAGGUCUUGACUCAGAAAACUCAUAUAUGCUUCCUUACUAAUGAGACUUUCCAUACAACAAAGUGAGGUCAUUCUGUGUUGAUUUAGACCAUAAGGGGCUGGCUAUCAUGUGUUGGAAGAUACCCUAAACUUAACCUAACAUAACCUAACAAAACC
Molecule: long non-coding RNA, 227 nt
Organism: Eriocheir sinensis (Chinese mitten crab)
Lineage: Eukaryota; Metazoa; Arthropoda; Malacostraca; Decapoda; Varunidae
Exons: 2
Source: RefSeq, a predicted model, not a curated record